This 66-nucleotide transfer RNA is filed under the name Anaplecta calosoma. RNAcentral describes it as "tRNA-Pro". The record is from RNAcentral. Lineage: Eukaryota; Metazoa; Arthropoda; Insecta; Blattodea; Anaplectidae.
CAGAGGUUAGUUUAUUUUAAAAUUCUAAUUUUGGAGAUUAGUGAUGGGCGGCCCGUCCUCCUCUGA